UACGUAGGUGGCAAGCGUUGUCCGGAAUUAUUGGGCGUAAAGCGCGCGCAGGCGGUCCUUUAAGUCUGAUGUGAAAGCCCUCGGCUCAACCGAGGAGGGUCAUUGGAAACUGGAGGACUUGAGUGCAGAAGAGGAGAGUGGAAUUCCACGUGUAGCGGUGAAAUGCGUAGAGAUGUGGAGGAACACCAGUGGCGAAGGCGACUCUCUGGUCUGUAACUGACGCUGAGGCGCGAAAGCGUGGGGAGCAAACAGG
Molecule: ribosomal RNA, 253 nt
Filed under: uncultured bacterium
Lineage: Bacteria
Description: partial 16S ribosomal RNA
Rfam family: Bacterial small subunit ribosomal RNA
Source: RNAcentral